AUUGAACGCUGGCGGCAGGCCUAACACAUGCAAGUCGAGCGGUAGCACAGAGAGCUUGCUCUCGGGUGACGAGCGGCGGACGGUGAGUAAUGUCUGGGAAACUGCCUGAUGGAGGGGGAUAACUACUGGAAACGGUAGCUAAUACCGCAUAACGUCGCAAGACCAAAGAGGGGGACCUUCGGGCCUCUUGCCAUCAGAUGUGCCCAGAUGGGAUUAGCUAGUAGGUGGGGUAACGGCUCGCCUAGGCGCCGAUCCCUAGCUGGUCUGAGAGGAGGAACAGCCACACAGGAACUAAGACACGGUCCAGACUCCUACGGGAGGCAGCAGUGGGGAAUAUUGCACAAUGGGCGCAAGCCUGAUGCAGCCAUGCCGCGUGUAUGAAGAAGGCCUUCGGGUUGUAAAGUACUUUCAGCGGGGAGGAAGGUGUUGAGGUUAAUAACCUCAGCAAUUGACGUUACCCGCAGAAGAAGCACCGGCUAACUCCGUGCAGCCGCCGCGGUAA
RNAcentral lists this ribosomal RNA (502 nucleotides) under uncultured bacterium. Its description in RNAcentral is "partial 16S ribosomal RNA". It matches the Rfam family "Bacterial small subunit ribosomal RNA", at positions 30 to 523 of the family's 1533-position model. The record is from RNAcentral.